RNAcentral lists this ribosomal RNA (3020 nucleotides) under Triticum aestivum (bread wheat). Its description in RNAcentral is "partial small subunit ribosomal RNA". Lineage: Eukaryota; Viridiplantae; Streptophyta; Magnoliopsida; Poales; Poaceae. The record is from RNAcentral.
GAGCGGAAGGGAAAAGGAGGACCUAGGGAAGCACCCGUGCAUAGAGGGGCCGCCGCUUUGUCGGCUGUUGUUCUUCUGAAACGACAGGAGACCUCGGUUCUCCCGCAAGCCCAAGGGACGCCUGGAGCUAACGCUACGCGAGUACGCCCCGGACCGCGAUCUUCGUCUGGAACGACCACGCGGUCUAGACAGGGCGGACUGGGAGGCUCCGCAGGCGGGCAAGAGGUGAACAUAGGUACGGCAGCUGUUCUUGGACUAAUAGUACUAUUGAAGGAAAGGAGUUCAAAUGGGGGCCCCAUAGAUAGAGUAGAUGUUGCGUUAACUGUCUAGCGAGGAGUACUAGGGCAGACGCGGGUCGUGUGGGGGAAGGCAGGAAUGCAGGGCACAAGAACACCGCGCGGCGGCCCUGCUGCUGUAGUCGAGGAUGCGGGACCAGAAAGGGCCCUGGCAGAUGCUGUAUCCGACAGGACCUGCCGUCGGACAAGAGAAGCACAGCCCUAGGAGUAGAUUCAGAGUCACCCUCUAACGCUUCAAGUGAUUAAAGGGGCUGGUAGACGAGCGACUCUUUUCGAGAAAGGAACGGCUUCUACACAAGAGGGUGGCACCGGCACCAAUGACCCACCUAGAGAACGAACCACCGUACAUGACACUGACGCCACUACACAAGAGGUCGGUCGCAAUGUACCUGCGGGUGAGGAAUCUGGAGGGACACCCCACGCUCUCUAUGAAUCCGACAUCUCUAAUGUAUGGUCUCGGCUCCCGGAAAGCUCGACACCCGACACAACCCCUGAGGUAGUUCAAACAGAGGUAGUGGCCGAAGGAACUCGCACACCUAGAACACCUACUGGCGUACCACUCCCAGACCUCUGAGUUCCUUCUAUACUCAACCCUACAUCUGAUGCUCGAGUUCGACCCCUCGGACGCACUUCUCCCCCGAAAGUUUCCCUUGGUGGACGGCUGGAGGUACCGUGGGUACAUGGGGAAGGAGUUGUAUGUCCUUCUGGCACAGUAUAUGAAACGUGACCCACUCAUGUAGAUGGUCCUGGGCCUCAAGACGAAAGGUAGGUGCGGUUCGAAAACCCAGGCACAACUAUACUCGUCGUUCUGAAAGUUGACGUGUGGAGAGAGAGACUGCCUACGGUCGUAACCGACAGAAGAACGAGAGAGGCCGUUACGACUCCCGUUCGAACGAACCUGAAGGGUCGGUUCGGUUGAAGACUUCGGUACAGGACAAUCAAUCCCUCCCCGUUAUACCUUCGUGGUCUAGUUCAUAGUCCUUAGUACUUCAAACCAAUAGAAAAAUAAAACGGAUAAAAAUAAUUGUUCUACAAAUAGACCGAGUUCAGUUAGGGAACAAAUAAACGAAAACAACCUCACUCUUUGACAACACAAACCGACGUUGAACAGGGUACUCUAAUGACAAACUACUGUAAGAACACUCUAGGAAUAAGAGCACGAACAUAAUAGUACCUAUAUCAAAGAUAGGAAUAUGGUAAAACAAACGUUUCAUGACGUCAUAACAAUCAUUUAUAGUAGUAGAAUAUAGUACAUGGAACCUGUGAGUCCGUAUCGGGUAGGAAGGUUUUCGUUAUGUGUCGUGUAAGUCUUAUAGAGGUAGGUCCUACAAAUAUAGAAGGUUCCUGGUAUGUAGAUUAGAGUUAAGAACUAAGCAAACGUUACCACCGGCAUCCUAGAAAAGCGAACUGCCGAUCGUAGCUUCGCUACCGUGGUACUCACUAAAACAGGGCGACUUCCCCGUAGAGGCAGAAAAAGAUCGGUCGGAUAUAUAAGUGUGUAACUGUUUGUCCAAUUGGAAAAAGGGAUACACCACUUUUGGGAUCGGCGGUGUAGGGAGCGAACUCGGGGUAGGAGAAGGACGGACGGCGGCAGCUCCAGGUGGAGCCGGCGUAGGUACGAGUUACUACGGAGGAGUUACACAGCGACGGAGGCCUGCACUGCGGCCAGAGGAGACGCCGGGGAAUGACGGUGGUAGGAGGAGAAGCGGAGAUCGACGGGUCUACGGACUGCCGACGCCAUCGCACGGAUAGUAAGUACCCGCCGAUCUGCAGGUCCAAGUAGAGAGAGAGAGAGAGAGUCGUUUGGUACUUCCUAAACCCUGACGAACCCGCACCUUGUUUUUUGGGUCACAAAACAAAACCACAAGUCGAUUUCCCCCUUCUAGACCUAAAUGUAACAAAAUAGUACCAUACCGCAAGAAAUAAAAGCGUCCUUCACGAGGUCGCCUUUGUGUAGAGUUUAAGGUCCAAGGACGUUUAACCUAAAUUCUCUACAGAUGCAGAUCGACCCGAGGUUCUUUCCUCUAAGAAACAACAGGAAAAUCUACAGUGAGUUUUACAGUGCCAAUAAAGAUUACGAGUGAUAAAAGGACCGAAAGUACCCCAGACUACAUUUAGUCAUUUACCGAUAUACUGUUCUAGGCAAACGGCUUCUUACACAAUAAACUAAGAUGAAACGUGACCCACUCAUGUAUAUGGCCUGGGCCUCAAGACGAAAGGUAGGUUCUCGUUGAAAGUUGACGUGUGGAGAGAGAGACUGCCUGCGGUCGUAACCGACAGGAGAACGAGAGAGGCCGUUACGAGUCCCGUUCGAACGAACCUGAAGGGUCGGUUCGGUUGAAGACUUCGGUACAGGAUAAUCAAUCCCUCCCCGUUAUACCUUGAUGGUCCGGUUCAUAGUCCCUAGUACUUCAAACUGAUAGCAAAAUGAAACGGAUAAAAGACAAUUGUUCCACAAAGAGACCGAGUUCAGUUAGGGAACAAAUAAACGAUGACACCCUCACUCUUUAACAACACAAACUGACGUUGAACAGGGUACUCUAACGACAAACUCUAGGAAUAAGAGUACGAACAUAAUAAUACCUAUGUCAAAAUUAAAACAGACGUUUCAUGACAUCAUUCAUAGUAAUAGAAUACAGUACAUGAGGGAGACAAGUGAAAACAUUCAGCAAAAUCUGUUGAGUUUUACCUAACGAAACGUGUAACAGAAAUUACAGAGGUUCC